CCUACGGGAGGCAGCAGUGAGGAAUAUUGGUCAAUGGGCGGGAGCCUGAACCAGCCAAGCCGCGUGAGGGAAGAAGGUACAGCGUAUCGUAAACCUCUUUUGUCAGGGAACAAAGGCGGGUACUCGUCCCCGUAUGAGGGUACCUGACGAAAAAGCAUCGGCUAACUCCGUGCCAGCAGCCGCGGUAAUACGGAGGAUGCGAGCGUUAUCCGGAUUUAUUGGGUUUAAAGGGUGCGCAGGCGGCCUGUUAAGUCAGCGGUAAAAGCCCGGGGCUCAACCCCGGCGAGCCGUUGAAACUGGCGGGCGGGAGUGGGAGAGAGGUAGGCGGAAGGCGCGGUGUAGCGGGGAAAGGCUUAGAUAUCGCGCAGAACCCCGAUUGCGAAGGCAGCGUACCGGCUCCACACUGACGCUGAGGCACGAAAGCGUGGGUAUCGAACAGGAUUAGAUACCCUUGUAGUC
RNAcentral lists this ribosomal RNA (459 nucleotides) under uncultured bacterium. Its description in RNAcentral is "partial 16S ribosomal RNA". It matches the Rfam family "Bacterial small subunit ribosomal RNA", at positions 338 to 795 of the family's 1533-position model. The record is from RNAcentral.